CUGAACCCUGCACAUGGGAACAACCAAGUGUGUCCCCAAGAUGCAGCCUCAGACCUAGACAGCUACAGUCCUAUACGAUCAUCUGAAGGUCCUGACAGCUCUGCACAGUACAAUUUCAUUUAUCAAGGGAAAUGAGUAAAGUGCCAGAUUCUAGACCCAUUUUGGCUAUGAAUUGAAGGGGAGGUGGGAAGCACAGUAUCUCAUUAUGUUGCCUGUACUAGGAACAGAUAAACACAAACACACAGGCAACAGGGAUUUGGGGAAACACCGUGUCAGCGCUGCAGUCAGCCAAGCGCAGUGCCGGCGCUAUCCCCCAACCCUCAAAGUGCCUUGGCCCAGGAGAAAAGAAACCCGCUGGCCAUUCACUGCAGCUGGCCAGAGAGGGGAACCUCGACCAUGUCUGGUGAAAGGAGUGAACUCAUUGGGACACAGCCUCGAAAAAGCAGUAACAAAAACACGUGAAUGCCUACGAACAUUCACUGUGUUUUCUCCGUGGACUCCCUACUGCUAUUCCACGGUCUCCACUUUCAGCUCUCGCUGUUUCUCGUGUGAGCCUAUCCCUUUGGACAGUCCACUUUGGGAGGGGGUCAUGGAGCCAGGGCUCCCUCUCAAUAGGAAUGGAAAGGACCCUGCAAGAAUCAACACCUAUUUUUAUCCUAGUUGUGAAAACAAGGUGCCUCCAAUUCUCUAUGUCCAUCACAGCUGAAUACCAACAAGGUGCAGUUCAGUCUGUCAGUGACUUCUGGUUUUUGUUGGAAGCCAACGCAAUACAGAACUCAACAUGCAGGUCAGAAGAGAAACACUGAGGAAGUGAAAGGAAACACCUGGAGUCGGGCCAAUGUCUAAAGUAAAAAGAGAAAGCAAAGGAGAAAAAUGAUGCAGUACCGCAGCCCAAACGACUCCCCCACAUGGCCACCUCCGAUCCUCUGGGGAACCCCAUGUGCUGCUAGGAAAACGAGCUGGGAGGAAAAGGACAGAAGGAAAAUGGGGAAGCAGUGGUAGAAAGAAAAAAACGCACAAACAGGCACUAGAUAGAUACAGCAAAGCCCAGAAUGUACUAAAAACCACUUGUUGACAGCUGGCAUGCACUCACAACAAGCUGUGUUUCCACUGUGGGGAGGCCAGUGGCAGGUAUGGGAGUGGAAGCUGC
Molecule: long non-coding RNA, 1150 nt
Filed under: Homo sapiens (human)
Lineage: Eukaryota; Metazoa; Chordata; Mammalia; Primates; Hominidae
Description: non-protein coding lnc-MORC2-7:1
Source: RNAcentral